Molecule: long non-coding RNA, 814 nt
Organism: Zea mays
Lineage: Eukaryota; Viridiplantae; Streptophyta; Magnoliopsida; Poales; Poaceae
Exons: 2
Source: RefSeq, a predicted model, not a curated record
CUCUCCCUCUUGGUUCUUUGCUAGUCACGCUCCUCUCCAUGGGCGCCCAGGUCUCUUCCCCAUGGUGGCAGAUCCCAUGCCAAGCUCGCCCCAUGUCCGAACUCCGAAGGCUGUCGUCUCUACUCCUCUCCCCAUGGCGACUUCGCCUUCACUGCUUCUAUUUCUUCCCCAGCAGCAUCCCUCCUUGUCUCUAUGCGAGCAGCAGCACGCCGGAGCAGUCCAAUGUCCACGACGCACGCCAUGUGUUCGACGGGAGGAUUGACCAGAGUUCAUCCUCGUUCUUCAUCCGUGACACCGCAAGUUUUUGCACGACCAUGAGGUUAUGUUCUUACUUGGGUGUUUUGUUUCUCGGCGUCGCUUAUAAGAAAUUAAUCAUGUGUAUAUUUAUGUGUGGUUGUGUGGAGCGAAUCCCGGAUGUUGGGUGAAAGCAAGCGAGAUCCGGGUGGGGCUUGACAGGUGUCCGAUAGAAAGACUGAACCCAAAGCCAUCGCCGUGUUUGUGGACGCCGCUUUGAGUUUAGUUGUGGUACGCUAGAUGAUUAUGCGAGCUGAAGGACAUGGAUCAGAGCGAACCAUGAGAUGGUAUUGGAGGAUUAAUCUUGUUGAUGCAUCAAGCCAGCACCAGAAUGGAAGAUACUUACCAAGUGGUCGUCAAUUAACAACACUAACAUAGUGUUUAUCCCAGGCAAGCCCCGGUGCAUUUGCCACCUCCUUCUAUUUAAAAAACUUUUAUCACUUACCUGCUGCAUUAGGUGAUAGGAGUUGUGUGAAUAAACAAUUGAUGCAUUACCAUUCCUUGGAAUUUGAUUAUCCUC